Molecule: ribosomal RNA, 497 nt
Filed under: uncultured bacterium
Lineage: Bacteria
Description: partial 16S ribosomal RNA
Rfam family: Bacterial small subunit ribosomal RNA
Source: RNAcentral
GAUGAACGCUGGCGGCGUGCCUAAUACAUGCAAGUCGAGCGAACAGACGAGGAGCUUGCUCCUCUGACGUUAGCGGCGGACGGGUGAGUAACACGUGGAUAACCUACCUAUAAGACUGGGAUAACUUCGGGAAACCGGAGCUAAUACCGGAUAAUAUAUUGAACCGCAUGGUUCAAUAGUGAAAGACGGUUUUGCUGUCACUUAUAGAUGGAUCCGCGCCGCAUUAGCUAGUUGGUAAGGUAACGGCUUACCAAGGCAACGAUGCGUAGCCGACCUGAGAGGGUGAUCGGCCACACUGGAACUGAGACACGGUCCAGACUCCUACGGGAGGCGGCAGUAGGGAAUCUUCCGCAAUGGGCGAAAGCCUGACGGAGCAACGCCGCGUGAGUGAUGAAGGUCUUCGGAUCGUAAAACUCUGUUAUUAGGGAAGAACAAAUGUGUAAGUAACUAUGCACGUCUUGACGGUACCUAAUCAGAAAGCCACGGCUAACUACGUG